RNA transcript from Lotus japonicus, 2605 nucleotides. It is a transcript of the gene named zinc finger CCCH domain-containing protein 64, with no coding region annotated. The transcript has 11 exons. The record is from RefSeq and is a predicted model, not a curated record. Lineage: Eukaryota; Viridiplantae; Streptophyta; Magnoliopsida; Fabales; Fabaceae.
GAUUCCAAAACUUAAAAAUUUGGGUUCGUGAAGCAAGAGCGAAGAAGCUGAGCUACAGUGAAACACACUGUAGGUUUUCUCUUCCACACCAUCAAAACUCCGUCAUGGCCCCUCGAAUCCUCCUAUGCGGCGACGUUUUGGGCCGCCUGAACCAGCUCUUCAAGCGCGUCUCAUCGGUGAACAAAUCGGCGGGUCCAUUCGACGCGCUCUUGUGCGUGGGUCAAUUCUUCCCGGACUCACCUGACCUGAUGGAAGACUUCAUGGCCUACAUCGAAGGUGGCUCCAGCAUUCCCCUCCCGACUUACUUCAUCGGCGACUACGGCGUCGCAGCCCCGAAAAUUCUCUUGGCAGCUUCCAAGGACUCUGCUAACCGUGGUUUCAUGAUGGAGGGCUUGAAGGUUUGUGAGAAUUUGUAUUGGUUGAAAGGCAGUGGCAAAUUCACACUCAAUGGGUUAUCUGUGGCUUAUUUAUCUGGUAGGAAAUCAUCAAAUGUUCAACAGUUUGGAACUUAUAGUCAAGAUGAUGUUGAUGCUUUGCGCGCAAUAGCUGAGGAACCUGGAAUUGUUGAUUUGUUCUUGACUAACGAAUGGCCUAGCGGGGUUACUAAUCGAGCAGCUGCUUCAGACAUUCCUGCUGGACUCUCAGAUUCUAUAGGCAGUGAUCCGACCAUAUCAGAGUUAGUAGAAGAGAUUAAACCACGCUAUCACAUUGUAGGUACUAAAGGUAUAUACUAUGUCCGUGAACCAUAUUCCAAUGUUGAUGCUGUGCAUGUCACUCGUUUCAUAGGGCUGGCAUGCGUUGGAAAUAAAGAUAAGCAGAAAUUUAUUCAUGCAAUUUCUCCAACACCUGCAUCCACCAUGUCUUCAACUGAGCUUGCCAUGAAAACCACAACUACCACCUUAUCACCAUACACAUCUGUGGGGAACAAAACUUCUCCAAAGGAUACCACAAAGAGAUCCAGUGAUGGUAUCUCUGAUUCUCAAUAUUGGAGAUAUGAUGAUGUUUCUCAAAAGCGAUUAAAACAUGGAGCUGGGGAUGGUGAUAAGCUGUGUUUCAAAUUUGUAUCAUCUGGCUCUUGUCCACGAGGAGAGAAGUGCAAUUUUCGACAUGAUAUAGAUGCAAGGGAACACGGCAUGAGAGGCGUUUGUUUUGAUUUUUUGAAUAAGGGAAAAUGUGAAAGGGGUCCAGAUUGCAACUUUAAGCACAGCUUGCAGGAUGAAGGUGAUAUGCAUCCUUCCACGAGACCUGGGUCCCGAAGUAUUAGGUCUAGCAGAUCUCAAGAAUGUUGGUUUUGCUUGUCAAGCCCCAAUGUGGAGUCACAUUUAAUAAUAAGCAUUGGGGAAAAUUACUAUUUGGCAUUGGCUAAAGGUCCACUUGUUGAAGACCAUGUGCUGAUAAUACCAGUUGAGCAUAUGCCAAGUACCCCGUCCAUGUCUUCAGAAUCUGAAGUUGAGCUCUUUCGGUUUCAAAACAGUCUCAAGAGGUACUACAAGGACCAGGAAAAGGAGGUCAUCUUUUUUGAGUGGCUUUCUGUACGAGGAACUCAUGCCAAUCUUCAGGCCAUUCCCAUUCAAUCUUCCAAAGCAGUUAUGGUUGAAAAAGCAUUCAAUUUAGCUGCACAAAAGUUGGGAUUUGAAUUUGUGGCAAAGAAAUUUGAUAGCAUAUCUGAUGGAAGGAAGUUUCUUAAGGAACAAAUUGAUGGGAAAUCAAGCUUGUUUUAUGCUGAAAUACCAGGAGGCACAAUUUUGCUCCAUCAUGUUGAGGAGAAAGAAAGAUUUUCUGCCCAAUUUGGACGAGAGGUUCUGGCAGGGUUGCUUAAUAUGGCAGAUAAUGCAGAUUGGAGGACUCGCAAAUAUAGCAAAGAUGAAGAGAUGAAAUUAGUCGAAGAUUUCAAGAGUCAAUUUCAAGAAUAUGAUCCAAACUGUUGAUUAUUCAGCAUUAAAUUCUCAGUUUACACCUAUGCCACGAUGACUAUGGUGACUCCUUAAUCUAAUCGUACCGAACCUUUCUGUUAUAUGCCCAAUUGCAUGUGAUGCUGAAUGUCAAACUGAGAGUUUUUUCUUUCCCAAUGAUUAUGUGCUUAGGAGACAUGAUAGUCCGGAUGGAUUUCAAUUGGUCACUUUUUUAUCAGCAUUUCCUAGGGUGAGCUUCAUUUUCCUCUCCUAACUUGGACUUGCUGUAACUUGUUCUCUCUAAACCCGGUGGCUAUUUUUGUGACUAUUAUAUGCCACAUUAUAUAGAUGCCUCAACCUUGCUAUUCUAAAUAUUUCACGCGAGGAAUCACCAAGCUGAAGGUUCUAUUCUAUCACAUAGCUAUUUGCAUUGGUGACACAAGCAGCCGCUGCAUAUAUAUUUUGAGGCACAGGGAGGUUGAGGGUGAGAUAUACUUCUACUUCCAACUAGUUAGUCGGUAUCCUUUUAUUAAUGCUCCGAUCUUGCAAUAUCUGCACUUCCAUUUGCCUAGAAUUGAAGUCUCUACAAUUGUGUUUUUUAUCUCAAAGGUUGGCUUCAACCCUUCUGUGGAAAUUCAGUUUUGUAGACUCUAGUUGAUUGGUGUAACAUUAUUUUGUUGUUCUCAUGUAAUUAUUGUGCCUUUUCAUUUGUA